Molecule: non-coding RNA, 1469 nt
Filed under: Enterococcus asini ATCC 700915
Lineage: Bacteria; Bacillati; Bacillota; Bacilli; Lactobacillales; Enterococcaceae
Description: Bacterial large subunit ribosomal RNA
Rfam family: Bacterial large subunit ribosomal RNA
Source: Rfam by way of RNAcentral
ACAACAAGUUAGAGCCCGUUAAUGGGUGAUAGCGUGCCUUUUGUAGAAUGAACCGGCGAGUUACGAUUGCAUGCGAGGUUAAGUUGAAGAGACGGAGCCGUAGCGAAAGCGAGUCUGAAUAGGGCGAAUGAGUAUGUAGUCGUAGACCCGAAACCAUGUGAUCUACCCAUGUCCAGGUUGAAGGUGCGGUAAAACGCACUGGAGGACCGAACCCACGUACGUUGAAAAGUGCGGGGAUGAGGUGUGGGUAGCGGAGAAAUUCCAAUCGAACUUGGAGAUAGCUGGUUCUCUCCGAAAUAGCUUUAGGGCUAGCGUCGAAGUUGAGAAUGAUGGAGGUAGAGCACUGUUUGGACUAGGGGCCCAUCUCGGGUUACCGAAUUCAGAUAAACUCCGAAUGCCAUUCAUUCAUAUUCGGCAGUCAGACUGUGAGUGAUAAGAUCCAUAGUCGAAAGGGAAACAGCCCAGACCACCAGCUAAGGUCCCCAAAUAUAUGUUAAGUGGAAAAGGAUGUGGGGUUGCACAGACAACUAGGAUGUUGGCUCAGAAGCAGCCAUCAUUUAAAGAGUGCGUAAUAGCUCACUAGUCGAGUGACCCUGCGCCGAAAAUGUACCGGGGCUAAACAUAUUACCGAAGCUGUGGAUUGUACCUUUGGUACAAUGGUAGGAGAGCGUUCUAAGGGCGUUGAAGGUAGAUCGUGAGGACUGCUGGAGCGCUUAGAAGUGAGAAUGCCGGUAUGAGUAGCGAAAGACAGGUGAGAAUCCUGUCCACCGAAUGACUAAGGUUUCCUGGGGAAGGCUCGUCCGCCCAGGGUUAGUCGGGACCUAAGCCGAGGCCGAUAGGCGUAGGCGAUGGACAACAGGUUGAUAUUCCUGUACCCGUUCGCUUUGUUUGAGCAAUGGAGGGACGCAGGAGGCUAAGAAGUGCAGACUGAUGGAUAUGUCUGUUCAAGCAGUAAGUCUUGUGAUGAGUCAAAUGCUUAUCACUAUACGGACAAGCUGUGAUGAGGAGGGAACUAAUAGUACCGAAGCUUCUGAUGUCACACUGCCAAGAAAAGCUUCUAGUGAGAAACGAACGGCCCGUACCGCAAACCGACACAGGUAGUCGAGGAGAGAAUCCUAAGGUGUGCGAGAGAACUCUCGUUAAGGAACUCGGCAAAAUGACCCCGUAACUUCGGGAGAAGGGGUGCUGCUCGUAAGAGCAGCCGCAGUGAAUAGGCCCAAGCGACUGUUUAUCAAAAACACAGGUCUCUGCAAAAUCGAAAGAUGACGUAUAGGGGCUGACGCCUGCCCGGUGCUGGAAGGUUAAGAGGAGUGCUUAGCGCAAGCGAAGGUACGAAUUGAAGCCCCAGUAAACGGCGGCCGUAACUAUAACGGUCCUAAGGUAGCGAAAUUCCUUGUCGGGUAAGUUCCGACCCGCACGAAAGGCGUAACGAUUUGGGCACUGUCUCAACGAGAGACUCGGUGAAAUUU